UUGGAGGUUUUUGAAGAUCAACGGAAUUAGAGAGAGGAGCUUCAUGCUUCGGGUCGGGGAAGAAAAGACAUAGAAUUUGGAUUUUUCUUCUUCGUAGAGUUUUGGGAAGACUGAGGCAAUCGCUGCUGAAGUCAGUGUUGUAAUGGUGAAUCGGGAUUUUUAAAUGAAGUGGGUUUGAAUACUCUUGACUGUUUUGUAAAAUCGAGUUACGUCUGUGAUUGAAGGAUUAAAGGGGUGUCUAUAGGAUUGAGUAUGCGGAGUGAAUGAAAU
This 270-nucleotide long non-coding RNA is filed under the name Physcomitrium patens. Its description in RNAcentral is "long non-coding RNA (PPAT_LNC007328)". Lineage: Eukaryota; Viridiplantae; Streptophyta; Bryopsida; Funariales; Funariaceae. The record is from RNAcentral.